AUUGAACGCUGGCGGCAUGCCUUACACAUGCAAGUCGAACGGCAGCACGGACUUCGGUCUGGUGGCGAGUGGCGAACGGGUGAGUAAUGUAUCGGAACGUGCCUAGUAGCGGGGGAUAACUAGGCGAAAGAUAGCUAAGACCGCCUACGACCUACGGGUGAAAGUGGGGGAUGUCAAGACCCCUCGCUAUUAUACCUCCCCAAAUCAGAUUAGCUAGUUGGUGGGGUAAAGGCCCACCAAGGCAACGAUCUGUAGCUGGUCUGAGAGGACGACCAGCCACACUGGGACUGAGACACGGCCCAGACUCCUACGGGAGGCAGCAGUGGGGAAUUUUGGACAAUGGGGGCAACCCUGAUCCAGCAAUGCCGCGUGUGUGAAGAAGGCCUUCGGGUUGUAAAGCACUUUUGUCAGAGAAGAAAACUGUUGCGCUAAUAUCGCGACGGGAUGACGGUAUCUGAAGAAUAAGGACCGGCUAACUACGUGCCAGCCGCCGCUGUAA
RNAcentral lists this ribosomal RNA (499 nucleotides) under uncultured bacterium. RNAcentral's name for it is "partial 16S ribosomal RNA". It matches the Rfam family "Bacterial small subunit ribosomal RNA", at positions 30 to 523 of the family's 1533-position model. The record is from RNAcentral.